UGCAUGAUUAAGAAGCGUUGGAGACAGAUUGAUUAUUCAAACGCCAAGCCACAGGGACACUUAAAACAUUGAUUCAGACUCUGGAGUACUUCUCAGUGUCAGGGACUGGCCUGGCCAGGACUGGACCCCCGUGGCUGGAGUUCAAGAAGAGACACCCCCCCCCCAGGGCUCCACCCUGCACCCAGGAGUUCUGCAAUCACCAAUCCUCACAGCCCUCUCGCUGGACAGCCACUCCUCCCCUCCCCCAGGGUACUCUGUCCCGGGCUUUCCCCUCUGCCGUUUCUUCUCCAAGAUGACACCUGCUUUCUGCCUUCUUGAAAAGGAUGGAAGGCAUUGGGACACCAGUGGAGUGGUUGAGUAGCGGGACAGCUGUGGUCCGGUCCCCAGGCUCACGCCAGGAGCGCAGAGACGAGAACUGGCAGAGGCCACCAAGGAGGGCUGGGGAUGAUGCCCACACAGCAGAAAGCAGAGCGGAAAUGGAGAAAUGAGCCUGCUUGUGUUAAGCCCUGCAUCCAGCCACACCUGUAACCAGCCCCUUCCCGGCAGCUUUCCUUUCUGUGACCUGGAAAAUUCCUGUUGUUACCUGAAUUCCCUAUGUUUUGGGUUUUCUGUCAUUUGCCACAGAAUGAGGCCGGAUACACUCAAUACCUAACAAAAACAAGGAAUACCUGGACCAGGGAUCAUAAAACUCAUAAGCAAGGCCGAAGUAAGGUGUAUGGGGCGGGGGAGAAGGGCUGGCAAAAGCAGGGGUGCUGAUGCUCUUCCCAGCAAGAAAGCAGCCAGCGAACUUGUUGGAAUUCUCUUAAAGUUACAGGUGUGCCUUGCUUUGCAUAAUAGCUCUGUCUCCCCACCCCACCCCAUGUUUGUAAAUAGAAUUUUGGUGACUUAAAUCUGAUUUACUGCAUUGGGACAGAUAGUUAUUCGAGGCCUCUCCAUAGCCAUCUUUUGUCAAGUGACUGGUCAUAUUCUGAAAGAACAAAUGAAUGGUAAUUUAUUAAUAAUUGCAAUUUUCCUACCUCAGUCAUAUAGUUUAAAGUAAGAUCAACCUGGAUGACUUCGUGGUAUCUUUGUAUAAAUUAGUCAAAAGCCAAGAAAAUCUGCUGAGCGCUGUCAAAUACAGUUAACAACUCUGCAUUCUAGCUCCUUUGCAAGACUGCCGAGCUGGAAUAUAC
This is a long non-coding RNA of Mustela erminea (ermine), 1172 nucleotides long. RefSeq lists it as uncharacterized. Lineage: Eukaryota; Metazoa; Chordata; Mammalia; Carnivora; Mustelidae. The record is from RefSeq and is a predicted model, not a curated record. The transcript is spliced from 3 exons.